GACGAACGCUGGCGGCGCGCCUAACACAUGCAAGUCGAACGAGCGAGCGAGAGCUUGCUUUCUUGAGCGAGUGGCGAACGGGUGAGUAACGCGUGAGGAACCUGCCUCAAAGAGGGGGACAACAGUUGGAAACGACUGCUAAUACCGCAUAAGCCCACGGUGCCGCAUGGCACAGAGGGAAAAGGAGCAAUCCGCUUUGAGAUGGCCUCGCGUCCGAUUAGCUAGUUGGUGAGGUAACGGCCCACCAAGGCGACGAUCGGUAGCCGGACUGAGAGGUUGAACGGCCACAUUGGGACUGAGACACGGCCCAGACUCCUACGGGAGGCAGAAGUGGGGAAUAUUGCAAAAUGGGGGAAACCCUGAUGCAGCGACGCCGCGUGGAGGAAGAAGGUCUUCGGAUUGUAAACUCCUGUUGUUGGGGAAGAUAAUGACGGUACCCAAAAAGGAAGUGACGGCUAACUACGUG
RNAcentral lists this ribosomal RNA (466 nucleotides) under uncultured bacterium. RNAcentral describes it as "partial 16S ribosomal RNA". It matches the Rfam family "Bacterial small subunit ribosomal RNA", at positions 28 to 507 of the family's 1533-position model. The record is from RNAcentral.